CAUAGGCAGUGGCUUGGUUAAGGGAACGGAACCCACCGGAGCCGUAGUGAAAGCGAGUCUUAAUAGGGCGAUUGUCACUGCUUAUGGACCCAAACCUGGGUGAUCUAUCCAUGACCAGGAUGAAGCUUGGAUGAAACUAAGCAGAGGUCCGAACCGACUGAUGUUGAAGAAUCGGCGAAUGAGUUGUGGUUAGGGGUGAAAUGCCAAUCAAACCCAGAGCUAGUUGG
Molecule: non-coding RNA, 227 nt
Organism: Triticum aestivum (bread wheat)
Lineage: Eukaryota; Viridiplantae; Streptophyta; Magnoliopsida; Poales; Poaceae
Source: Rfam